This 77-nucleotide transfer RNA is filed under the name Candidatus Peribacteraceae bacterium. RNAcentral's name for it is "tRNA-Arg". It matches the Rfam family "tRNA". From Rfam's summary of the family: Transfer RNA (tRNA) molecules are approximately 80 nucleotides in length. Their secondary structure includes four short double-helical elements and three loops (D, anti-codon, and T loops). The record is from RNAcentral. Lineage: Bacteria; Candidatus Peregrinibacteriota; Candidatus Peribacteria; Candidatus Peribacterales.
GCCCGCGUGGCUCAACUGGAUAGAGCACCGGUCUUCGGAACCGGGGGUUGCAGGUUCGAGUCCUGCCGCGGGUACCA